RNAcentral lists this ribosomal RNA (484 nucleotides) under uncultured Sphingobacteriales bacterium. Its description in RNAcentral is "bacterial SSU rRNA". It matches the Rfam family "Bacterial small subunit ribosomal RNA", at positions 894 to 1382 of the family's 1533-position model. The record is from RNAcentral. Lineage: Bacteria; Pseudomonadati; Bacteroidota; Sphingobacteriia; Sphingobacteriales.
UCAGAACUCAAGGAAUUGACGGGGCCGCACAAGCGAGGAGCAUGUGGUUUAAUUCGAUGAUACGCGAGGAACCUUACCUGGGCUCGAACGUAAGAUGACUGUAGGUGAAAGCUUACAUCUCUUCGGAGCAUUUUACGAGGUGCUGCAUGGUUGUCGUCAGCUCGUGCCGUGAGGUGUCGGGUUAAGUCCCAUAACGAGCGCAACCCCUACCUUUAGUUGCCAUCAGGUAAUGCUGGGGACUCUAAAGGAACUGCCUACGCAAGUAGUGAGGAAGGCGGGGAUGACGUCAAAUCAGCACGGCCCUUACGUCCAGGGCUACACACGUGCUACAAUGGCCGAUACAGAGGGCAGCUACCUGGUGACAGGAUGCAAAUCUCCAAAGUCGGUCUCAGUUCGGAUCGGAGUCUGCAACCCGACUCCGUGAAGUUGGAUUCGCUAGUAAUCGCGCAUCAGCCAUGGCGCGGUGAAUACGUUCCCGGGCCUU